This 313-nucleotide unclassified non-coding RNA is filed under the name Ascomycota sp. RNAcentral's name for it is "partial contains 5.8S ribosomal RNA, internal transcribed spacer 2, and large subunit ribosomal RNA". The stretch from base 1 to 71 matches the Rfam family "5.8S ribosomal RNA", at positions 84 to 154 of the family's 154-position model. The record is from RNAcentral. Lineage: Eukaryota; Fungi; Ascomycota.
GUGAGUCAUCGAAUCUUUGAACGCACAUUGCGCCCCCUGGUAUUCCGGGGGGCACGCCUGUUCGAGCGCCAUUUCGACCCUCAAGCCCUCGGCUUGGUGAUGGGCUCCCGCCGCGUGGCGGGCCCGAAACCCGUAGGGCGCCGCGGCAGCGGGCUCUGAGCGUAGCAAGAGCGCAGCCUCCCUCGCUCCGGAGACCCCUCCACGGCCGCCUGGAGAAACACGCACACCGGCGAAGGCUUUCGUCGCGGAAAAAGGUUGGCCUCGGAUCAGGCGGGGAUACCCGCUGAACUUAAGCAUAUCAAUAAGCGGAGGA